RNAcentral lists this non-coding RNA (107 nucleotides) under Schinkia azotoformans LMG 9581. RNAcentral describes it as "Bacillus azotoformans LMG 9581 SAM riboswitch aptamer (S box leader)". It matches the Rfam family "SAM riboswitch aptamer (S box leader)". Rfam says of the family: The SAM riboswitch is found upstream of a number of genes which code for proteins involved in methionine or cysteine biosynthesis in Gram-positive bacteria. The SAM riboswitch acts at the level of transcription termination control. The record is from Rfam by way of RNAcentral. Lineage: Bacteria; Bacillati; Bacillota; Bacilli; Caryophanales; Bacillaceae.
UACUUAUCAAGAGUGACGGAGGGAACAGGCCCGAAGAAGUCCGGCAACCACAAGCGAUGCUUGUAAGGUGCUAAAUCCUGCAGACAAAAUUGUCUGAAAGAUAAGGU